This 291-nucleotide ribosomal RNA is filed under the name Triticum aestivum (bread wheat). RNAcentral's name for it is "partial small subunit ribosomal RNA". Lineage: Eukaryota; Viridiplantae; Streptophyta; Magnoliopsida; Poales; Poaceae. The record is from RNAcentral.
AUGAUCGAUUUUUUUCAGCAAAGGAGGAAUGCCGCCAGAGAACUCGGGCAUAGCACAUUUCAAAAGGUGACCGCCGCUUUGCGUAUGUUGGCAUACGGAAUUCCGACGGAUCUAGUUGAUAAUCACUUGGCCAUGGACGAGAGACAAGCCAUCAUGUGUGUCAAGCGCUUCGCGGUUGAAAUCGUGCAAGUGUUUGGUCUGAAAUAUUUGAGAGCUUCCAAUGCUGAAGGCGCCGCAAGGCUUUUGGAGAUGAAUAAAGCUCACGGGUUUCUAGGUAUGCUUGCUCAAUAG